Molecule: long non-coding RNA, 1224 nt
Organism: Hordeum vulgare subsp. vulgare (domesticated barley)
Lineage: Eukaryota; Viridiplantae; Streptophyta; Magnoliopsida; Poales; Poaceae
Exons: 2
Source: RefSeq, a predicted model, not a curated record
UCUGAUGCCUCUAAUGUGAAAAGAAAAAAUUAAGUCAACAAAAGAAAGAAAAUGGCAUGACAAUCAAGGAGCGAGUCGGCUGAUUGGCAAUUUUGCGAAGCCAAUGUCGAAGAUGGCAAUUUAGAGAAGCCUCGUAUUGAAUGUGGCAAAUAUUCAAUUUGCUCAUUGUGGCACAUGACCUCCACCUCCCACCCCGUGCCACUCCAUCCACUCCCACGACCUCCACCUCACCCCGGAGGCAUCACGCAACGUCCAUCUCCUGCGUUGUCCGACCCUCCUUCCACCACUGGAUCCGACCGCCACGCCCCUGCCUUCCUCCACUCCGUCCUUGCACCGACCCACCCUACCCCAAACCCACCUUAGUCCUCCCCCACCCUAUCCACCUUCUUCCUCCCUAAUCCGCCAACUCCACCGGCUCAUGAUGUGGCCUUAACCACCGGAUCCGGCCACCACCGACCCCUGGCCCGGCCUCACCCACCAGAUCCGGCCGCCACCACCCCGUGCGACCACCACCGGAGCUCCCAUGUGCAGUUCCCCCGCUCCUUCUCCACCGAGGUGCUGGUAGCCGGCGCCGACCGCACCAUGCCACACGGGGCUAUGGCCAUGGAGAUCCCUACACCCUCCGAUGGCCCCCGUCCAGAACUUCACCGCCGACCCGGAGGACGUGCGGCACCCCACCGAAGGGCCCCUACUGGGCCGACUCAGGGCCCUUCAUCUGGUGCGUCUUCGUUCGGUCCGAUUCUUCGCUUGAUUCGAUUCAAUCCCUUGGUUGAUACAGUGAUGAUGAGGUGGUGUUUGUUGUUGUCUAUGUGGUUGGAUACAAGGUGAACUCGGCAUUCGGGAUGGUCGUGAACGAUGAGUGCAGGCUCAAGAUCCAGGAGCACAAGACGAAGCAGAGCUUCCAGUUCAUCACCCUCAAGAUCAACGAGAACACGCACUAGGUGGUGGUGGACAGGAAGUGCGAUAGCACGCCAACAAGCUUAACGCCUGCACCUACAGAUGGAAGCAACACGACCAUGGCGCCUCCCUGGUCACCUCCUCCCUGGACGCGAGAAGGGCGGUAGCUACACACUCAGCACCGGUUUUUCUGGGAUUUUAAUUUCCUUCUAAAAUGGCCUUUGUGCAUACCAGCCCCAGGAAUACUGUUAGCUGGUGAACAGACCCUUGAUACAAAUGUCCAAGCAAAUUGCAAAUCUGAGGAACAAGACCAAGGUGUUCUAUGGA